UUAACACAUGCAAGUCGAACGAUGAAGCCCUUCGGGGUGGAUUAGUGGCGAACGGGUGAGUAACACGUGGGCAAUCUGCCCUUCACUCUGGGACAAGCCCUGGAAACGGGGUCUAAUACCGGAUAUGACACACGACCGCAUGGUCUGUGUGUGGAAAGCUCCGGCGGUGAAGGAUGAGCCCGCGGCCUAUCAGCUUGUUGGUGGGGUGAUGGCCUACCAAGGCGACGACGGGUAGCCGGCCUGAGAGGGCGACCGGCCACACUGGGACUGAGACACGGCCCAGACUCCUACGGGAGGCAGCAGUGGGGAAUAUUGCACAAUGGGCGAAAGCCUGAUGCAGCGACGCCGCGUGAGGGAUGACGGCCUUCGGGUUGUAAACCUCUUUCAGCAGGGAAGAAGCGAAAGUGACGGUACCUGCAGAAGAAGCGCCGGCUAACUACGUGCCAGCAGCCGCGGUAAUACGUAGGGCGCAAGCGUUGUCCGGAAUUAUUGGGCGUAAAGAGCUCGUAGGCGGCUUGUCACGUCGGAUGUGAAAGCCCGGGGCUUAACCCCGGGUCUGCAUUCGAUACGGGCAGGCUAGAGUUCGGUAGGGGAGAUCGGAAUUCCUGGUGUAGCGGUGAAAUGCGCAGAUAUCAGGAGGAACACCGGUGGCGAAGGCGGAUCUCUGGGCCGAUACUGACGCUGAGGAGCGAAAGCGU
Molecule: ribosomal RNA, 698 nt
Filed under: Streptomyces sp. RS-36
Lineage: Bacteria; Bacillati; Actinomycetota; Actinomycetes; Kitasatosporales; Streptomycetaceae
Description: bacterial SSU rRNA
Rfam family: Bacterial small subunit ribosomal RNA
Source: RNAcentral